UGCACAGCCAGGAAUAAGACUGUCCAAAUAUAGCUCUCGAGCUGCCUGUCAUUGAGCUGAAGGUGUUGGUAGCAAGUCAUCUCAACAUGGCAGUAGACAAUGUCCUGAAUGUCGGGGAUCCCUCAGCUGUUGCAACAUAGAAAGGCUGUGGCUCUGCCUUCUCCUCCUCUCCCUAGUGAGAGAGAAUGAGUGAGGACUGCACCAGCCCACCAGCCCUAAACCGCCCCACACCAGCUAGCCUCAACAAGCUCUCAGGUCUGCCUGCCUGCCUGCCUGCCUGCCUGCCUGCCUUGAGUAUUGAUUCUGUGGCUGAGUGGCCUUAGCGUGUAUUAUCAUCAGCUCCGAUCAUUCUUCUGCCAUCCACUCCCUACCUGAAUUAUGAUGCCGAUGAACGUGUGAGCAGCUCAAAGACCAGGAAUAGUUGCCAUGACAUAAACGGAAACCCAAUUGCACCUAGUGCCUACAGGCAAAUGAGAGAGCCACCCAACAAGUCAGUCGAGGGAAGUCUUGUCAG
Molecule: unclassified non-coding RNA, 514 nt
Filed under: Haliotis rubra (blacklip abalone)
Lineage: Eukaryota; Metazoa; Mollusca; Gastropoda; Lepetellida; Haliotidae
Description: uncharacterized LOC124286609, transcript variant X5
Source: RNAcentral